Long non-coding RNA from Pseudopipra pipra, 817 nucleotides. RefSeq lists it as uncharacterized. The record is from RefSeq and is a predicted model, not a curated record. The transcript is spliced from 3 exons. NCBI's taxonomy places the organism in Eukaryota, Metazoa, Chordata, Aves, Passeriformes, Pipridae.
CUUCCUGGCCUCUCCCUCCCGCGCUCGGGCCUUGCCACGUGGAUAUCUCAGCACUGAGCGCUGUCUCCAGCUGUUUUACUUUUUUGCAGGCAAACGUGGCACUGUGGACGGCCCUCCAGCUGCCCUGGUGCCCACGUACAGUGAGGGAGUGUUUCCCCAGCCUCUUUGUGCAUCUGCUCUUCCAGGUGUUCUUCAACGCAGUGCAUAGGCUGGAGGAGGACGACGCCUUCUGGAGGGAAUGCCAGGACCAACACAGCCUUCCCACCAACGCCAACAGGUUUGCAGUGCUGACCAUCCAAGCCCUGCUGUGCCAUCUGCGGUGUGAGGGUGUGGUGAUGGCACUGGAACGCAAGUGUGGCUGGGACACGCUGCUCAACGCUGACACCCACCACUGCGCAGUGGGUCUGCUGGCCAGGGAGAUAGUCUGUAUCUGCACACCCUGGUUUUGCAGCACUGUGUGCUGCCUCCUGGAGCUGCUCAGUGAAGAGAUGUGUCCCUGGGAGCUCCCUGCCAUGGCGUUCCUUGUGGAGGUGAGUCUGAUGGCAAGCGCUGCCUCCCCGAGCUGUCUCCACCUCUCUGCAGGGAAAGCCCAGUGAAUGGAGCUGGGGCAGAGGGGUUCUCCACUGUGUGUCCUUGGCCCGUUGCUGCUGGGGUGACACUUGUCCCCAGCUGUAUUUUGGGUCCCUCUGCUGCCAGCACUCACGUUUCCAUCAUGGCUCCUCAAGGCCAUGGAAUCUAAGGCUGCCGAGGGCUGGGUGGCACAGAGGAGUGGGCACGUGGCCUGCACAGGGCAGGGAGCCCAGGGGCUCUGCAGAGC